RNAcentral lists this non-coding RNA (45 nucleotides) under Schistosoma mattheei. Lineage: Eukaryota; Metazoa; Platyhelminthes; Trematoda; Strigeidida; Schistosomatidae. The record is from RNAcentral.
AUUCAUCUGACGAGUCCCAAAUAGGAUGAAACGCGUGUCCUGGAU